GGGCCUAUAGGUAAGUGGCAUACCGCACCCUUCGCAUGGGUGAGUCUCGAGUUCAAUUCUCGAUAGGUCCA
RNAcentral lists this transfer RNA (71 nucleotides) under Candidatus Kuenenbacteria bacterium CG08_land_8_20_14_0_20_37_23. RNAcentral describes it as "tRNA-Ala". It matches the Rfam family "tRNA". Rfam says of the family: Transfer RNA (tRNA) molecules are approximately 80 nucleotides in length. The record is from RNAcentral. RNAcentral also lists the same sequence under 1 other name. Lineage: Bacteria; Candidatus Kueneniibacteriota.